Asterias rubens (European starfish) is the source of this 1867-nucleotide long non-coding RNA. RefSeq lists it as uncharacterized. The transcript is spliced from 4 exons. Lineage: Eukaryota; Metazoa; Echinodermata; Asteroidea; Forcipulatida; Asteriidae. The record is from RefSeq and is a predicted model, not a curated record.
GACUCAGGAAACUUCUGAGUAUACAGUGCUAAAACACAUCGGUAUAUGGGUAAGAACCAAAAUGAAUACUCCUUAUCCGUGAUGCAAAUUGAUCAUCUCUCAAUUGAACAUCUCUUUGUUGUUUCAUUUGGUGAGCUUGGUUGUCAGUUUGGUGCAAGUUUCUGCAUCUGGAGUGUUUGAGACUCAAGAGACUGUGGACUGGUGUUUGGCGCUUUAAUGCCAAGAUGUGAAUGUGGAACCUUAAUGAGGAUCCAGCCUGAGCCUCACACAAUCACACUACAUAUUGACCAGCAACAUCUCCAGUAUAACCCGGAAGGAGAACUCAAGUCUAGUUCAGCGUCUUGGGGAUGAGGAGUGUGGGAGUCUAAAGCUGAAGCAGAUGAUGUCACUGCUGGAGCAUGAACUAGACCAAAUAAAUCAGUUGAUGUCAAAGCACCAUACCUUCAGAGAGAAGAAGGAUGUGAACUAUUGGACUGAUGAUGAAGUGCAAGUAGAUGUGGCGGUGAGGAGACAAAACUGCACGACAAAAUUGAUGGGGUUGACAGACUAACUGAUAUAAUCAAGAAUGAGAUAAAUCAUCACACUAAGUAUGGUCGUCAGGGAACCAAGCAGGCUGUAGGCUGUGGUGCCUGGGAUACUCAUUGGUUGCAACUCCAACCAGAAGUCCAACGAGUUGGCUGAGAUUGGGUGAGUGGAGAGCACCAGGGUUUGAGUCUCUGACUGAAAUCUAGUUGAAGCUGUUCAUGCAUCAACCAAUAACUAAGUUAGUGAUGCUGGAAUUUGAUGUGGUAUCUCAACAAUUUCAUCUGAGGUCAACCAGUUGUUCUUUAAUAACAGACUUCGUCUUCCCUGCAUGCUCGUGGGGCAUGGAGGGACGCUGGCCCCCACGAAGCAUUUCUCCCAUGAAUGCCUCUGACUCUGCACUUUGCUGUGCUCCCAGAAGACUGUAUUGCCACCAAGUUGGGGCCAUGUGCUGGGCCCCCAAGACAGCCGACAGUAGCAUUGAAGGCGUACCAUGGACCCCCAAAGUACUCCACAGCCAUGCAUUGCUCAGAAAGCUGACAAAGCUGAGAAGGCCACUGCAGCAAAAGGAUCCUAACUAUCUCAACCAAAGUUGAUGAUGCGGACACCUCUGAUAUUGCAGUAACAGUGAAGGCGUACCAUGAACCCCCACAGUACUCCUCAAAAAGAUGCUGUAGCUGAGAAGGCCACUGCAGCAAAAGGAUCCUAACUAUCUCAACCAAAGUUGAUGAUGCGGACACCUCUGAUAUUGCCGUAACAGUGAAGGCGUACCAUGAACCCCCAAAGUACUGCCAAUAAAACAACACAAGAUGGAUGACAACCAUGAAGCCUAUCAACAUGGUAGGGAUUUACCUUUAUACACUGAUGUGUGUUAGCACUGUAUACUCAUUACUUUCUCGAGGUUUGAAAAAAUAACAUACAUAUUUCUCGGGUGGGAUUGGAAUCCACAACCUGUGUAGUUCUAGAGCAGUGUCUUACCAACUAGACCACCAAGAUAGCCCGGUAGCUAAUAUGCUGAGUAAAGGGCCUGUGAUUUUUUUUUUAUACAACCCAUGUAAGCACUGAACAUACAGUGCUGCUAACACACAUCGGUUCAUUUGGGUAAACAAAAUAAAAGUAAAUAGUUAUUCUUUAGCCUCGAUGCAAAUUUCCAUCUAUGGUACAAUAUAAUAUUAAAGACAUCAACAAAACCAAUAACUAAUGACUCACCAUCCUUUCAUGAUAUGUUUCUUGAAAACUAGAAUAUUGGAAUGGAUGUACUCUUCCAAUUACCAUUAUCUUCAAGUACGCACUAAUCCUCCAAUCAGAUUCGCAGAAUGGAGUGGUGAUAAAAACCUAUAUUGCA